GCCGGGCCUGCGGACCGACGGCGCUGCGGGGCCGAGGCGCCUGUGCAGGUGCGGACGGGCGCGAGGGUCGGGGGGGCGCCGGGGGCCUGCGCUCGCGGCCGGGGCUGGACGCCGUCGGCGAAAGGGCGAGUGGGUGAUGGCUGCGGGGUGGCCCAGGUGAGCCGCCAACCUCAAGUGCUCUCGCCCUGGGCCCUCAGGAGGUGUCCUGGGAACUCGAGCUCUCACUGUGCGCUCUCAGGAGGUGUUCUGGGACCUCCAGCUCUCCCUCUGAGCCCUCGGGAGGUGUCCUGGGACCUCGAGCUCUCACUGUGCACGCUCGGGAGGUGUCCUGGGACCUCGAGCUCUCACUGUGCACCCUCAGGAGGUGUCCUGGGACCUCGAGCUCUCCACUGUGCACCUCGGGAGGUGUCCUGGGACCUCGAGCUCUCACUGUGCACGCUCAGGAGGUGUCCUGGGACCUCGAGCUCUCACUGUGCACCCUCNUCUGGGACCUCCAGCUCUCCCUCUGAGCCCUCGGGAGGUGUCCUGGGACCUCGAGCUCUCACUGUGCACGCUCGGGAGGUGUCCUGGGACCUCGAGCUCUCACUGUGCACCCUCAGGAGGUGUCCUGGGACCUCGAGCUCUCACUGUGCACCUCGGGAGGUGUCCUGGGACCUCGAGCUCUCACUGUGCACCUCGGGAGGUGUCCUGGGACCUCGAGCUCUCCCUCUGGGACCUCGGGAGGUGUCCUGGGACCUCGAGCUCUCUCUUUGCACCCUCAGGAGGUGUCCUGGGACCUCGAGCUCUCCCUCUGGGCCUUCGGGAGGUGUCCUGGGACCUCGAGCUCUCACUGUGCACCCUCAGCAAGUGUCCUGGGACCUUGAGCUCUCCCUCUGCCCCUCGGGAGGUGUCCUGGGACCUCGAGCUCUCACUGUGCACCUUCAGGAGGUGUCCUGGGACCUCGAGCUCUCACUGUGCACCCUCAGCAAGUGUCCUGGGACCUUGAGCUCUCCCUCUGCUCCUCGGGAGGUGUCCUGGGACCUCGAGCUCUCACUGUGCACCCUCAGGAGGUGUCCUGGGACCUUGAGCUCUCACUGUGCACCCUCGGGAGGUGUCCUGGGACCUCGAGCUCUCCCUCUGGGCCCUCGGGAGGUGUCCUAG
RNAcentral lists this long non-coding RNA (1140 nucleotides) under Vulpes vulpes (red fox). RNAcentral's name for it is "lncRNA (ENSVVUG00000008096.1)". The record is from RNAcentral. Lineage: Eukaryota; Metazoa; Chordata; Mammalia; Carnivora; Canidae.